Molecule: long non-coding RNA, 213 nt
Filed under: Serinus canaria (Common canary)
Lineage: Eukaryota; Metazoa; Chordata; Aves; Passeriformes; Fringillidae
Description: lncRNA (ENSSCAG00000002587.1)
Source: RNAcentral
CCGCCAUACUGUAUUUUAUAGUAACUCUCAUUUUUAUUCCUCCCUUUUACUCCCGCUCGUGGAAGGUUUUCCUGGAGAAUGAAGUGCGGUUUGGUUUCCUUGUCAACGGAAGAUGAAGUGAACAACUGAACAUCUCCCCAGUGCAGACUUGGACCUUUCCUCCUGCUCUGGACCUUUCACCUGGCGUCAGCACAGCUCAGAAGGAUGAACGAA